Molecule: long non-coding RNA, 1261 nt
Organism: Amphiprion ocellaris (clown anemonefish)
Lineage: Eukaryota; Metazoa; Chordata; Actinopteri; Pomacentridae
Exons: 4
Source: RefSeq, a predicted model, not a curated record
GUCACUCCCACUGAAUAGCUGAAGGAGGAACAUUCACAGACUUGCCACAAUCACACAAAGAGAAUAAGUUGUUUCUACUGAGAAUAGUUCGAAGAACAGCACUUGACAUGGAGAAAAAAGUUUUUUGUUGGAUAUUUUUGCUUGCAUGUUUUCAUGCAGCCUCAACACAAGACACCUUACCUGCAGCAGGAUUCAUCAUUUUCCCAUUCAUUCCAAACACUUCAACGCCCACAGCGCAAGACUUCAUAUCACUGGCCCUCCAAAUGAAGAUAACUACCUUUGGAGAAGUCAGCAGUGUAACUAUCAUUGCGCUUGUUGAACAGGUUCUGAGAGAACGGCUCUUGAAUGGAACAGCUCACACAGCAACUGUGACAAAUAUUCAAAGAGUUAAAAUUGGCCCAUAGAAGCUUCAUGUGGACGGGAACAGUCCGAAGUGAAUGCAAAAUGACAGCAAUUCAAGCAUGGGCUGGAGGUAUUGCUUCAACAUCAUCUGAAGCAGAAGUAGACCUCAAUCGUUUCAUUGCAUCUGAAAAUAUUUUCUACAGUUUGAGCCUCCUAUCAAAUGUCAUUGUUCUCCACUGAGCUACAGCGGUUUUAUCAUUUUAUCAAAUCAAAUAUUUGCAGUACCAUGCUGGUGGUUAUAUGGAAAUUUUGGGGUUGACCCAUGUAUGAAACUGCAUAGAACAAGGAAGUUUAAAGCAAGAAAUUUAAUCUGUCAAAGAGAUUUAUAAGUGCCAGUAAUUAUCGUGCUUUGCAUAGUAACUGGAGAAGCGAGUGUCAUGUUGGAAAACCUGGCAACCAGGUAACAAGUAAAGUACGUGACUCAUUCACCCCUCCCUUUCUUGAAACUUAAAUGAUGAAUCCUCCACUUAAGACAUUUGCCACUAUUUCCUGAGUGAGUGUCUCAUAGCAAGGGUUUGCAUACCAUACCCCAAAUCAGAGAAAUCUAUUGUCACUCAGGUGUUACUGACACAAUGUGCAGCAUAUCUACUGGAUCUGAAUCUGUCUUUGUUCUUGUGACAAGAGUCAGUUAAACCUUGUAUUUUUAUAGACUCAUCUUUCCAGUUCAUGAGAAAGCCAAGAUUUGACAUACCAAAGUAGGAUAACCAAGUUUUGAUUAUGGCAGCCGUUUAUGUCUGUAAUUUCUUUUCCUUUCUGCACAGGUCUGUACAGCAACAGACAGCGUAUUUCUUCUCGGUGUUACUGAUUGUCAGUAUACACAAGCUACCUCUAUGACUGCCCACUAAAUAAUUACACAACA